GAAACCGCGAAAGGCUCAUUAAAUCAGUUAUGGUUCCUUAGAUCGUACACACAAUUACUUGGAUAACUGUGGUAAUUCUAGAGCUAAUACAUGCAAACAGAGCUCCGACCGGAGACGGAAGGAUCGCUUUUUUUAUAUCAAAACCAAUCGGUGAUGGGCCCGUCAUCGUACAACUUGGUGACUCUGAAUAACUUUAUGCUGAUCGCACGGUCUUGCACCGGCGACGCAUCUUUCAAAUGUCUGCCUUAUCAACUGUCGAUGGUAGGUUCUGCGCCUACCAUGGUUGUAACGGGUAACGGGGAAUCAGGGUUCGAUUCCGGAGAGGGAGCCUGAGAAACGGCUACCACAUCCAAGGAAGGCAGCAGGCGCGCAAAUUACCCACUCCCGGCACGGGGAGGUAGUGACGAAAAAUAACGAUACGGGACUCAUCCGAGGCCCCGUAAUCGGAAUGAGUACACUCUAAACCUUUUAACAAGGAUCAAUUGGAGGGCAAGUCUGGUGCCAGCAGCCGCGGUAAUUCCAGCUCCAAUAGCGUAUAUUAAAGUUGUUGCGGUUAAAAAGCUCGUAGUCGAAUUUGUGUCUU
Molecule: ribosomal RNA, 583 nt
Filed under: Brathinus nitidus
Lineage: Eukaryota; Metazoa; Arthropoda; Insecta; Coleoptera; Staphylinidae
Description: SSU rRNA
Rfam family: Eukaryotic small subunit ribosomal RNA
Source: RNAcentral